RNAcentral lists this ribosomal RNA (496 nucleotides) under uncultured bacterium. RNAcentral's name for it is "partial 16S ribosomal RNA". It matches the Rfam family "Bacterial small subunit ribosomal RNA", at positions 30 to 523 of the family's 1533-position model. The record is from RNAcentral.
AUUGAACGCUGGCGGAAUGCUUUACACAUGCAAGUCGAACGGUAGAGGGGGCAACCCCUCGAGAGUGGCGAACGGGUGAGUAAUAUAUCGGAACGCGCCCAGUCGUGGGGGAUAACGUAGCGAAAGUUACGCUAAUACCGCAUACGAUCUACGGAUGAAAGCGGGGGAUCGCAAGACCUCGCGCGAUUGGAGCGGCCGAUAUCAGAUUAGGUAGUUGGUGGGGUAAAGGCUCACCAAGCCAACGAUCUGUAGCUGGUCUGAGAGGACGACCAGCCACACUGGAACUGAGACACGGUCCAGACUCCUACGGGAGGCAGCAGUGGGGAAUUUUGGACAAUGGACGCAAGUCUGAUCCAGCCAUUCCGCGUGCAGGAAGAAGGCCCUCGGGUUGUAAACUGCUUUUGUACGGAACGAAAAGGUUUCCAUUAAUACUGGGAGCUCAUGACGGUACCGUAAGAAUAAGCACCGGCUAACUACGUGCCAGCCGCCGCAGUAA